CGCGUAGGCGGGCGGCCAAGUCGAGGGUGAAAGCCCCCCAGCUCAACUGGGGAAGUGCCUCCGAUACUGGUCAUCUUGAGGGAGGUAGGGGCGUGCGGAACUUCCGGUGGAGCGGUGAAAUGCGUAGAUAUCGGAAGGAACACCGGUGGCGAAAGCGGCGCGCUGGACCUCUUCUGACGCUGAGGCGCGAAAGCCAGGGGAGCAAACG
This 208-nucleotide ribosomal RNA is filed under the name uncultured bacterium. RNAcentral describes it as "partial 16S ribosomal RNA". It matches the Rfam family "Bacterial small subunit ribosomal RNA", at positions 568 to 774 of the family's 1533-position model. The record is from RNAcentral.